Molecule: long non-coding RNA, 3925 nt
Organism: Alligator mississippiensis (American alligator)
Lineage: Eukaryota; Metazoa; Chordata; Crocodylia; Alligatoridae
Exons: 3
Source: RefSeq, a predicted model, not a curated record
CUGUGUCAUCUUCUCCUUCUCCCGAGGAACUACAAGUUGUUGGAUCUUUCCCUCUCCUAUGGGUCACUCUUGCUUCCUUCCAGAUGUCUACUGCUUCUUGUGAGAGGUCCUUGAUAUCUGGCUGCUGUCUGAACCCCACAAUGCAGAGUCAUCGACCCAAUAAGAAGUAUAAAGAAAGACAAAACCCAAAGACAACUGAGGAGUAGGCACAGAUGCUUGAUGUAAUAAUGGGAAGAGAAAAAACAAUUUCCUGCUCCCUCUGUGAAAAGAUUAUUCCUCCUUGGCAUCAUCAUUAGGGGACCAAGAGGAGAGAAGGGAAGACGAGUAGUCUACCAGCAGAGUGAGGACCCAGAAACAGUAUGGGGGUGAGACUCACUGCUGUCCCAGUCUCCACCGGCUUCAUCCUGAAUCCAUGGCCUCAAGAAUGGUAAGUAUCCUGGCUCCUCCAAGUCAGCUUUAGCUGGGCAUCCUUCCUCUUGGGGUUGCAACCACUCGCUCCUGCCAGGGAAGUUGUUGUUUCCGGCCGUUUUGGGCCAUCUGGAGGACUCACUUCCAGUCCUCCUCAAAUAUCAGCUGUCUCCAAGGACCAGUUGGAAAACUGGCGUCAGCACGCAGCUAUAAAGCAUGUCCGUGCUGGAGCGGAUGAAUGCGUGGUGCACCAUUGCUGCUGUUUUUCCUUUCCCCCCAGCACUGGUGCAGCUUGCCUUCUAGUGGCAGCAUCUUCACCACUGUGCUUUUGAUCCUCAGCAGCGUCCUGUGAUUUUCACACCCCUCUCUGCUCUAGUGUCGGAACUAGGUUUCGGUCCUUGGCGGUGUCCCUGCCACACCCCAAUAGAUCAUUUCAUGUUUGUAGGGGCCGCUCAGCUACCCUUCUACAUCUUGUUUUCCAACAAAACCCCUCAUACAGCCCCUAUAGAACACUGUGCAAUGAUCACAUUUUUCUUAUAACACAGCUAUGAGCAGCUGCUAAUAAGAGGCUAGAUCUUUGUCUGGUAUGCAUUGGUAUAGCUCUAUUGCCUUCUGCAAAUAUAUAUAAAUCUGAGCUCACCUGAGGAUCUGGCUCCGCAUUUGGCAAAAUGGAGGUAAGUGGCAGGCUCUUGAAAUAAGAAAGCAUACAUAUUCUGCGGUCUCUUUGUCUGAAUUAAUAUAUUCUCUGAGUUAAUAAAUCCAGUGCAGUUCUUCCACUCUAGAGCCCAGUUUAAUCACAGUGAGCACCAGCAAGCCAUUUAUUGUAUUUUGUAAAUACCAUCUGUGCACAACCUAGCCUAUUCAACAAUGAUGACCAUAAGAGAAAUCCAGUGCGUUAUUGCAUUGGCACUUGAACUUGUUUGGCCUUCACAAGAUAAUGAAUUUUUUAUACACUGCUUAAGGAAUUAUUUUAGCAUUUUACUUAGGCUUAAUAGAUAUACUAGACUCUCUCAGUAUGAAUGGAAAAUCAUUGCUGAAGGAGAGAAGACAGUGAGGUCAUGCCUUACUUUGAUGGGUAGCAGAAAUGAAAUGAAAAUAAAAACACUCACCAGCUUUUAACGCUCCCAAUUGUCCUAUUUCUCCUUGACUUCUUUGUAACAUUGCAAUCUUUUUUCAUAUUCUAUUAUAAAAAGCCUUCUUGAAAAGGCGAGGCUUGAAUAUGGAUGGGUUUGUAUCUUCCUUUUCUUUAUACAGCCACCUAAAUAUUUAAAUAAUAUAUCUUGGGCAGCUUAUUUUUAAUAAGAAAUAGGUAACUUUGCUUGAUAUUCUGACAAUAUUGCUUGAGAUAAUGGGGCUUUGUUGAAUUAAAUUGUAUAUUAUGAACUGGACUACUGGGAUAUUAAUGGUCUGGUAAGCUCAGUGGUGUUAUCUGGAGACUUCAGAGAAGUAGACAGUUUCUAGUCUUCUGGCUGAAGGAUGACUGUUCAGUGGACAUGCUGUGCAUUAGUUAUAUGAUUGGGUUUAGGGGAAGCAAGGAAGGUAUUGGGAAGAUGUUUUAAUACAUAAAAGAUCAGGGAUCUCAUAGAAAAUUAGGGUUGGAAGGGAACUCAGGAGGUCAUCUAGGCCAACAGCCUGCUCAAAGCAGGACUACCACCAACCAUUAAUGGUAUUUUUCAUGCGGGGACCUGUUUUAAGAUUAGUUAAGAAAUGUUGGAAAAAACUCCAAUGACAUGUUAAAUAAUUUUAUUUUUAUAUACUUUCGCUCAAAACUGGCAAAUUUAUCUCAGAUACAUACUCAAAAAAAACAUGGCAGGUCAAAUGGUAUGGACUGUUUAACGUACUGGGAUGCAAAAUUGGGCAGAAAAUCUCACCGGUGAAGAUGUUGCAGUGAGUCUUCUGGUUUUCUACAGGGUCAAAAAUACAAAAACUAUGUUUAUACCACUUGGUUUUGUCAUUUUUUUGAUAUCUGGACAUAAUGAAACUAGAUGUUCAGAGAAGCCAAACAGGACAAGCUACAAUGACAAACAAAUGCAACCACUUCUUGUUUUGGUGUUUUGUUAACUCUACAGUUCAAAAGAUAAGAUUCAUUUGGGGCUAGUUUGAAUCACUCUCUGUCUUGCUGGCUCUCUUGAUUUUCAUCACAACUUCCUUGAUAUCUGGUAUUCUUCCCAAAGUCCCUCCUUUUGGAAUCUUUAUAUAAAAAUCUCAUUCUUCAUAUAGCUAUUUCAGAGUAAGUUUUUAGUUGUUCUGGUUUCAGAGGAAAGCUUGAAAAUCAUGAUCAUAGUGUGCUGCAAAGUCUGAAAAGCCAGAAGACCAAACGAAAAAGAAGAGAAAGUUCUAUGUUUUUUAAAUUAUUAUUUUAAAGUCAUGACGUCCAUCUUGGGCCUUAGUUGUGAUGUGUGGCAUGGCAGGACGCACAAUUGUCUGGAUCAGGGAUCAGAUCCCAUGAUGUCCUUAAGUGAACAUGUGCCGAGGCAAGGGCCUUAGAGUCAUAAAAUCGCUAACCGCAUUUCAUCUGCACUGACUGCACUAGUAUUUAAUUUUGAAGUGUUCGGUAUUACCUGGCUUUAUAGUGGCAUCAGUUGUUCUGAGUGAAGAUGUAAAGCUAAAGAAAAAAUAAUGUUUAAACCAAGUCAUCCAUAUCUGUUUUUGAGAAUUCAUUUUCGCAUGGGUCUGUGAAUACCAGAAGUAUGGAGUAGUGUGCAAUAACAUAAAAUAAUAAAAGGGCAUUUCAUACAUUGGUUCUUACCUUGCGUAAUAUUCAUUAUAAGUGUGUACUUUUCCACAACAUAUAGCCAUUGUCUCUCUCUUACUAGGAGCAGUCUUUUACAAAUGAUGCAUUGUACGUAGUACAUAAAGUGUAAAAAUAUUGUUGCCAUAUUUAUAUUUAUCAUUAUGAAGACAGCACAAAACUUGCAUUCUCUGUUGAUUACAGUUAACCUGAAUGGAUAGGAAUUAUAACAAACAAUAUUUUCCAGCCCAUGAUGCAGCAGCUGAAAAUUAAUUGUGUUUAAAUGUUCAUCAGCCAACUCAGAAAAAACUUGAACCAAUUAAAUGUAAUGAGGGGUCUUAAUAUGUUACUUUUUAUUUUAAGUAAAUUAUCCUUGCUCUGAUGUGCUUUUGUAAGUAAUGGUGCUUGCUUUUCAGAAAGAAAAUAAAAACUUGCAUCCCGUUGUCUUAGCCUUAAUUCUUCUAUAAGUCUAUAGUUAAAAAGAUUAGUUAUUACUACUUGUUUAGGGAUGAAAUUGUGAGCACUAUAUGAUACCAUGGACCACUGCAGACAAAUUUGAAUAGACACUUGUACAGACCCCACAGCUGUAGGAUGAAUUUUACUUCCAGGUCAGAUCUUUGCUGAUUUAGAGCAGGAAUUGUUCCAGUAAUUCUAAUGGAGCUGCGUGUUGUUCUCAGCUGAGAAUCUGGCCUUUCAUUUUGAGCACAAAGUAGCUACAGUGCUGUAAUGGUUCUUGGAAACUUGAGGUCUUUUGCAACAAGCAUGCAUUUCCCCGGCACCCUGUUG